UCUGUGAAGCUGGGGAGAAUAGUACCCGCGGUAACGAUACUAGCGCGACAUCGUAAUUCCUCAUGCUAUACGGGGACAGCGAGAAGCAACAUGGGAGAAGAUACUGAUGCUGCGCCUAACGACAAAAGACCUCGAGAUCGGCCCCAGUGGAACAAGGGGUUGCAGUUCUUUCUAUCCUGCCUGUCCAUCUCCAUUGGACUGGGAAAUGUGUGGCGAUUCCCCACACUAGCCUACCAGAAUGGAGGAGGGGCGUUUCUCAUACCGUACUUCAUUCUUCUGUUCAUUGUUGGCAAGCCGGUGUACUUUCUGGAGCUCGCCAUUGGUCAGUUUUCCGGAAGAGGCGUGGUCCAAACGUGGGAGUGCGUGCCAGGUUUUAAAGGUAUAAGCGUCGCUCAGUUCGUGACCAGCUUCUACAUCCUGGUCGCUUACAACUACAUCAUGGCCCUCUGCCUGUUCUACUUGUUCGCGUCCAUGCAAAGCCCUCUUCCUUGGACCCACUGCGACCCUCAAUGGAGCGACGAAAACUGCUUCCACAACUUGUUGAACACAACCGCCAACAUCACGGAGAACGCCACCUCCUCGUCAGAACAGUUCUUCAGGAAAUACGCGUUGAAAGACUCCGGAGAAUUCAAGCUUCCCACGGCCUUCGACUGGAGAAUGGCACUGUGUCUGUUGCUCUCGUGGCUUGUGCAAGCAGUGUCCACUAUCAAGGGUGUUCACUCAAUUGGCAAGGUUGCGUACGUGACAUCGACGUUCCCGUACGUGGUGCUUCUCACGCUUCUGGUUGUCACGCUGCUCCAGGAAGGAGCUGCAAACGGCCUCGCCGCCCUUUUUGUACCCCAGUGGAGCAAGAUACUCGAAAUACAAGUAUGGUUCAACGCGUGCGAGCAGUCCUUCUUUUCUCUUGGCAUCGGCAUGGGAGUAUUGACGAUGUACUCCAGUUACAAUGACUUCAAGCAUAACAUUUCAAGGGACGCCUUCUUCAUUUCAAUGGCAGAUACAGCUACAAGCCUCUUAGCUGGAUCGGUUGUUUUCUCCACACUGGGCUCACUAGCGCACCAACUCGGAGUGCAAGAUAUCUCCCAGGUCUUGAAAGGAACUUCGGAUUUGGGAUUGGCCUUCGUCACUUACCCGGAAGCCCUGAGUAGAAUCUCAUUCCUGCCUCAAUUGUGGUCGGUGUUAUUCUUCUUCAUGCUGUUUCUUCUUGGACUUGGAAGCGGCGUUUCAAACAUUCAGCUCAUGGUGGCGGUUCUAGAAGAUCAAUACCCAAGGCUGCAGGACCUGAAAGGCUGCACAGUUUUUGCAAUAUGCCUCUUGUGCUUCGGUACGGGUCUCCUCUUGUGCACUGAUAACGGAAACAAGAUGCGGCUAUUGUUCGACAAUUACGGCAUUGGGAGAGCUCUGUUCCUGUACGCCAUCUUCGAAGUGGUCGGCCUUGUUUGGGUGUACGGCUGGAAGAACAUCUGCGGCGACAUCGGCUACAUGCUCGGCAAACCAGUAUCUUGGUACUGGAAGAUAACAUGGGGCAUCCUUACGCCGGUCUCGCUAAUUGCCAUCUUCAUAUAUGGAACCGUAACAGAGAAGUCUUCGUCCACACUGCCUCCGAUUGGCCAGGCCAUAGGCUGGAUCCUGGCCUCCUUGGCGGUUGGUCAGAUCGUACUAUGGAUGGUCGUGGCUUUCGUGAAGGCGCCAGGCUCGGACGUGUUCGAGAAAUUCAAGACCACGUUCACAGCGUCAGAAAAGUUUGGACCCAGGGAUCCUGACGUGAAAGGAGAGUGGUUGUCCUGGAAGGCGAGCACGCAAAAGUCCUCGCUCUAUCCCACUGCUAAGACUGCUAGCGAGCACGUGAACCAUGCGUUUACACUCGACUAAGGCGCACUGGUUGUGAAGCAUCAGUCAACGCUGCGACAGCACCUUUAGCUGAACUGACGGACUAUAGGUGGUGUAUAGAGAAACAAAUUGCGCACGGGAUCGCCGCCGUAUAACUUAGGUGUUGCCACAGGCAGCUACCACGUGCCACCCGCCUUGUCACAGGGAUGGAUUCGACUUUGUAUACUUUGGAAGAUUACGGUUUCAACGACGGAAGUUUGCUCCAAGUGAUGUCAUCGUCAAUAUUACCGCACCUAUAUACGAACGUGGUCGGACUACAAUUUAACCUGAGAAUGUGGGAGGGAGGGGUAGUUUAUUAAAAUUGUUAGUAUUUGUUUAAUUUCAUGAAAGCGGAUCAUUACUCACCAUGAUCUCUGUUUUGUUUAGCCCCUUCAGGCGCUGUGUGCAGCAUUGCGCAGGGCCAAUAUUGCGCAUAAAAAACAAUAGCAAUUAUGAAAAAAAGUGGACAGUCAGUUUAGCUAAUGAGGAUGAAGGCGAAAGCAUGCGCGCUCACGAGACAUUCAUUAAAUUACUUAACAUUCUCA
This is an RNA transcript of Dermacentor silvarum, 2414 nucleotides long. It is a transcript of the gene named sodium-dependent nutrient amino acid transporter 1-like, with no coding region annotated. The record is from RefSeq and is a predicted model, not a curated record. The transcript is spliced from 16 exons. Lineage: Eukaryota; Metazoa; Arthropoda; Arachnida; Ixodida; Ixodidae.